This 385-nucleotide long non-coding RNA is filed under the name Malus domestica (apple). RNAcentral's name for it is "long non-coding RNA (MDOM_LNC000815)". The record is from RNAcentral. Lineage: Eukaryota; Viridiplantae; Streptophyta; Magnoliopsida; Rosales; Rosaceae.
CCGCACCAAAAAUUGUUCCAAUGAAAAUUACUGGGGGUGGUGUCACAAUGGAGGCUGGUACAAAUGAAGAGAAACCUGCUGGUCAGGGUGCUGAGGAGAGGAAGGAAAACACUGCUAACGUGAAAAGCAUAGUUGUGAAGCAAAUGGAUCCACGUAAGGAGGAAAAUAACUCUGAAGACGAGGAGAGAAGAGAAAGGAGUGUCCCCGUGAAACAAGUGGAAGAGAAUGUGGGGAACAAACCUUCUGGUACGAGUGUUAAGAGACAGUCCUCUUCCCCUAAAAAGUCAUCUGAGCUACCUCCCGUCUGUCUGAGAGUUGAUCCACUGCCGAGGAAGAAGAAGGCCAAUGGCAGUUCACGGUCUCCUAGUCCUCCUGCUCAAAAAGG